GAUGAACGCUGGCGGCGUGCCUAAUACAUGCAAGUCGAGCGAACAGACGAGGAGCUUGCUCCUCUGACGUUAGCGGCGGACGGGUGAGUAACACGUGGAUAACCUACCUAUAAGACUGGGAUAACUUCGGGAAACCGGAGCUAAUACCGGAUAAUAUAUUGAACCGCAUGGUUCAAUAGUGAAAGACGGUUUUGCUGUCACUUAUAGAUGGAUCCGCGCCGCAUUAGCUAGUUGGUAAGGUAACGGCUUACCAAGGCGACGAUGCGUAGCCGACCUGAGAGGGUGAUCGGCCACACUGGAACUGAGACACGGUCCAGACUCCUACGGGAGGCAGCAGUAGGGAAUCUUCCGCAAUGGGCGAAAGCUUGACGGAGCAACGCCGCGUGAGUGAUGAAGGUCUUCGGAUCGUAAAACUCUGUUAUUAGGGAAGAACAAAUGUGUAAGUAACUAUGCACGUCUUGACGGUACCCAAUCAGAAAGCCACGGCUAACUACGUG
This 497-nucleotide ribosomal RNA is filed under the name uncultured bacterium. RNAcentral's name for it is "partial 16S ribosomal RNA". It matches the Rfam family "Bacterial small subunit ribosomal RNA", at positions 28 to 507 of the family's 1533-position model. The record is from RNAcentral.